Molecule: ribosomal RNA, 253 nt
Filed under: uncultured bacterium
Lineage: Bacteria
Description: partial 16S ribosomal RNA
Rfam family: Bacterial small subunit ribosomal RNA
Source: RNAcentral
UACGUAGGGUGCGAGCGUUGUCCGGAAUUAUUGGGCGUAAAGGGCUCGUAGGCGGUUCGUCACGUCGGGAGUGAAAACUCGGAGCUUAACUCCGAGCCUGCUUCCGAUACGGGCAGACUAGAGGUAGGCAGGGGAGAGCGGAACUCCUGGUGUAGCGGUGAAAUGCGUAGAUAUCUGGAGGAACACCGGUGGCGAAGGCGGCAUCCUGGACCGGUAUUGACGCUGAGGCGCGAAAGCCAGGGGAGCAAACGGG